UUCUUCAAAACAAGAAAAAUUGGAAGGAGGACUGCUGCCACCUAGUUUCUCUCUCUAACUGCAAAUUCUUCUCAAUCGUUUCGGCCUUCCUGAUUUCUUUCUUUUCUGUGUCCGCCUCUGUUUCUUCCCUCUUCGGAAGAAUAGGGAAAAGAAUGGAAAAUAGAGAAAGUGAACGGAAUGGAGAGCACAGCGGCGUGGCAAGGAGUAACCCUUUGUGGAAUUGUUUCUUGGAUUUUGAUUUCUUCAUAUUUCAAUCUGACCCAGAAG
This 267-nucleotide long non-coding RNA is filed under the name Carica papaya (papaya). Its description in RNAcentral is "long non-coding RNA (CPAP_LNC008599)". Lineage: Eukaryota; Viridiplantae; Streptophyta; Magnoliopsida; Brassicales; Caricaceae. The record is from RNAcentral.